UUAAGUUAUUAAGGGCGCACGGUGGAUGCCUUGGCACUAGAAGCCGAUGAAGGACGUUACUAACGACGAUAUGCUUUGGGGAGCUGUAAGUAAGCUUUGAUCCAGAGAUUUCCGAAUGGGGAAACCCAGCAUGAGUUAUGUCAUGUUAUCGAUAUGUGAAUACAUAGCAUAUCAGAAGGCACACCCGGAGAACUGAAACAUCUUAGUACCCGGAGGAAGAGAAAGAAAAUUCGAUUCCCUUAGUAGCGGCGAGCGAAACGGGAAGAGCCCAAACCAAAAAGCUUGCUUGUUGGGGUUGUAGGACACUCUAUACGGAGUUACAAAGGACGACAUUAGACGAAUCAUCUGGAAAGAUGAAUCAAAGAAGGUAAUAAUCCUGUAGUCGAAAAUGUUGUCUCUCUUGAGUGGAUCCUGAGUACGACGGAGCACGUGAAAUUCCGUCGGAAUCUGGGAGGACCAUCUCCUAAGGCUAAAUACUCUCUAGUGACCGAUAGUGAACCAGUACCGUGAGGGAAAGGUGAAAAGCACCCCGGAAGGGGAGUGAAAUAGAACCUGAAACCGUGUGCUUACAAGUAGUCAGAGCCCGUUAAUGGGUGAUGGCGUGCCUUUUGUAGAAUGAACCGGCGAGUUACGAUUUGAUGCAAGGUUAAGCAGUAAAUGUGGAGCCGUAGCGAAAGCGAGUCUGAAUAGGGCGUUUAGUAUUUGGUCGUAGACCCGAAACCAGGUGAUCUACCCUUGGUCAGGUUGAAGUUCAGGUAACACUGAAUGGAGGACCGAACCGACUUACGUUGAAAAGUGAGCGGAUGAACUGAGGGUAGCGGAGAAAUUCCAAUCGAACCUGGAGAUAGCUGGUUCUCUCCAAAAUAGCUUUAGGGCUAGCCUCAAGUGAUGAUUAUUGGAGGUAGAGCACUGUUUGGACGAGGGGCCCCUCUCGGGUUACCGAAUUCAGACAAACUCCGAAUGCCAAUUAAUUUAACUUGGGAGUCAGAACAUGGGUGAUAAGGUCCGUGUUCGAAAGGGAAACAGCCCAGACCACCAGCUAAGGUCCCAAAAUAUAUGUUAAGUGGAAAAGGAUGUGGCGUUGCCCAGACAACUAGGAUGUUGGCUUAGAAGCAGCCAUCAUUUAAAGAGUGCGUAAUAGCUCACUAGUCGAGUGACACUGCGCCGAAAAUGUACCGGGGCUAAACAUAUUACCGAAGCUGUGGAUUGUCCUUUGGACAAUGGUAGGAGAGCGUUCUAAGGGCGUUGAAGCAUGAUCGUAAGGACAUGUGGAGCGCUUAGAAGUGAGAAUGCCGGUGUGAGUAGCGAAAGACGGGUGAGAAUCCCGUCCACCGAUUGACUAAGGUUUCCAGAGGAAGGCUCGUCCGCUCUGGGUUAGUCGGGUCCUAAGCUGAGGCCGACAGGCGUAGGCGAUGGAUAACAGGUUGAUAUUCCUGUACCACCUAUAAUCGUUUUAAUCGAUGGGGGGACGCAGUAGGAUAGGCGAAGCGUGCGAUUGGAUUGCACGUCUAAGCAGUAAGGCUGAGUAUUAGGCAAAUCCGGUACUCGUUAAGGCUGAGCUGUGAUGGGGAGAAGACAUUGAGUCUUCGAGUCGUUGAUUUCACACUGCCGAGAAAAGCCUCUAGAUAGAAAAUAGGUGCCCGUACCGCAAACCGACACAGGUAGUCAAGAUGAGAAUUCUAAGGUGAGCGAGCGAACUCUCGUUAAGGAACUCGGCAAAAUGACCCCGUAACUUCGGGAGAAGGGGUGCUCUUUAGGGUUAACGCCCAGAAGAGCCGCAGUGAAUAGGCCCAAGCGACUGUUUAUCAAAAACACAGGUCUCUGCUAAACCGUAAGGUGAUGUAUAGGGGCUGACGCCUGCCCGGUGCUGGAAGGUUAAGAGGAGUGGUUAGCUUCUGCGAAGCUACGAAUCGAAGCCCCAGUAAACGGCGGCCGUAACUAUAACGGUCCUAAGGUAGCGAAAUUCCUUGUCGGGUAAGUUCCGACCCGCACGAAAGGCGUAACGAUUUGGGCACUGUCUCAACGAGAGACUCGGUGAAAUCAUAGUACCUGUGAAGAUGCAGGUUACCCGCGACAGGACGGAAAGACCCCGUGGAGCUUUACUGUAGCCUGAUAUUGAAAUUCGGCACAGCUUGUACAGGAUAGGUAGGAGCCUUUGAAACGUGAGCGCUAGCUUACGUGGAGGCGCUGGUGGGAUACUACCCUAGCUGUGUUGGCUUUCUAACCCGCACCACUUAUCGUGGUGGGAGACAGUGUCAGGCGGGCAGUUUGACUGGGGCGGUCGCCUCCUAAAAGGUAACGGAGGCGCUCAAAGGUUCCCUCAGAAUGGUUGGAAAUCAUUCAUAGAGUGUAAAGGCAUAAGGGAGCUUGACUGCGAGACCUACAAGUCGAGCAGGGUCGAAAGACGGACUUAGUGAUCCGGUGGUUCCGCAUGGAAGGGCCAUCGCUCAACGGAUAAAAGCUACCCCGGGGAUAACAGGCUUAUCUCCCCCAAGAGUUCACAUCGACGGGGAGGUUUGGCACCUCGAUGUCGGCUCAUCGCAUCCUGGGGCUGUAGUCGGUCCCAAGGGUUGGGCUGUUCGCCCAUUAAAGCGGUACGCGAGCUGGGUUCAGAACGUCGUGAGACAGUUCGGUCCCUAUCCGUCGUGGGCGUAGGAAAUUUGAGAGGAGCUGUCCUUAGUACGAGAGGACCGGGAUGGACAUACCUCUGGUGUACCAGUUGUCGUGCCAACGGCAUAGCUGGGUAGCUAUGUGUGGACGGGAUAAGUGCUGAAAGCAUCUAAGCAUGAAGCCCCCCUCAAGAUGAGAUUUCCCAACUUCGGUUAUAAGAUCCCUCAAAGAUGAUGAGGUUAAUAGGUUCGAGGUGGAAGCAUGGUGACAUGUGGAGCUGACGAAUACUAAUCGAUCGAAGACUUAAUCAA
RNAcentral lists this ribosomal RNA (2921 nucleotides) under Staphylococcus aureus DAR5888. RNAcentral's name for it is "bacterial LSU rRNA". It matches the Rfam family "Bacterial large subunit ribosomal RNA". Lineage: Bacteria; Bacillati; Bacillota; Bacilli; Caryophanales; Staphylococcaceae. The record is from RNAcentral.